This is a long non-coding RNA of Gossypium arboreum, 1560 nucleotides long. RefSeq lists it as uncharacterized. The record is from RefSeq and is a predicted model, not a curated record. Lineage: Eukaryota; Viridiplantae; Streptophyta; Magnoliopsida; Malvales; Malvaceae. The transcript is spliced from 6 exons.
ACAUCGAAUUACACUAUAAUUUUCAAGGGAUUCUCCUAAUUAAUAUGGAAGUAAGAUAUUUUUAUAAUUUUUUAAAAUUAUAACUUAUACGACAGAUGAGACAGCCUCAAAGUCAAUGUUUCAUUAUGUAUCAGAUCGUUACAAUAAGGGUGCGUUUGUUUGCUAGAAAAAUAUUUUACGAAAAAUAUUUUCUUGGUUUUAUAGUGUUUGGAAGCCUGAAAACAUUUUCCAUUUGGAAAAUGAUUUCCAGGACACGGGUAAAUUGGCCUUCAAUUUGGGGAAAAUGUCUUACCCUUUUGAAUUCGGUAAGACAUUUUCCAGAAAAAUGAGGCCUUCUUCUCCCCUUUCUCCUUCUCCUCGGGUUGCAAAUCAGUGCCAUUGCCAGGUACCCUACCCUCCGCCCUAAUUCCUCAAGAGCUGCGCUAUUUCGAAGAACGAUGAUGAGAAAGUUUGGUCAAUGACCUUUUCCAGUUCCUCCUCCAUCCAGGAAUUUUGUGAUUUAAUUUCGUUCUUCCUCUGAAGGCCAGGUGGUUGAGGCAUUUAAGAUUUUGACUUCUGAUGAUAAAGUGAAAGCCAUUUUGGUGCAUAUAUUUGGAGGAAUAAUGAAAUGUGAUGUGAUUGCAAGUGGGAUUGUCAAUGCUGCCAAACAGGUGGCCCUAAAGUUCCUAUGGUGGUCCGUCUUGAAGGUACCAAUGUUGACCAAGGAAAGUGAAUUUUGAAGGAAAGUGGAAUGACACUAAUUACAGCAGAAGAUUUGGAUGAUGCUGCAAAGAAAGCAGUUAAAGCUGUCAGCAAAUGAGAAAUUUAAGAUACGAGUCCUUUGUUCUUAUUGUUUCUCAUCUUUCACAGCACUGAUGAGUUUUUCCUUUAUUUUUCUUUUCAUCAAGCCCAUAGAAUCUUGUUAAUGAUAAAGCUGCAGGGGGUUACUGUCCUGCAAAAUUGAUAUAUUUGCGACAUUUUCUCCGGACAGUUGGCAUAUAAUUCAAAGUUGAUAUAACAUCCUUCUUUGAUUUGAGAAAAUAUAGUUUGGAAAUUUUAUGUUAAAUAUUGCAAGGGUUAUGUGCGUGGGCUGAUGGAAGCGAUCACUUUUAAGUUACAACGGUAUUUUUCUUUUCAUCAGGCUCAGUUCCUUUGCCAGGCAAGCAAAGGGAGGUUGAAGGAAGAUGAAGCUAGAAAGUAUUUUCAGCAUCUUAUUAAUGCUGUGGAUUACUGCCACAGCAGGGGUGUUUACCAUCGAGACCUCAAGAUACGGAAACCAGCAGCAAACCAACAGGCAGACCAGCAUCCAAGCUGAACCAGAGAAGCAACAGCAUUUUGUUUAUUUUGUUCAUUUGUAACUUGAUUUAGUUCCUUUGUAAUUUAUACUUAAAGUUAGUAGGAGUAGUUGCUGAUUUAUAUUUAAUGUUAUAGCUGGUAUGUCAGCUACAUUUUGUGUGCAAUUCUAACUAAGCUUUAGUCAUGUAUUAGUGGGAGCAGUUAUACAUUAGAGAACUGCCAUAUUUUAUUGUAACAUAAAUGCUUCUCAAGUAAAUGAAAAUGAUCUGAUUUUUGGAGAUCAAA